GCCAGGUGAUGUGGGAUGAGCAGCAGGGAGAGCCCACUUCUGCCACCACAGCUGUUCAUUGGUAUUCAUGGAUACCGCUGUUCAGAUCUGCCACAAGUCAAACCAACGCAGACUUUGUAACAGGAGGCUUUGGUUUUGAUAAAAUAAGAUGGGAGACCAGAUGUGAAUGAGAUUGCUAGACUACUACUUGUCUAAAAACUGUAUUGUUGGCUUUUUUCACUUUCUCUGAUCUCUCCCAUAGUGAGAGAUUGAGUUGUCUGCUAGGGCUUGCAGAUGCUUUCUUCUUUGCCCAGCAUUGCCUUUGCUUGUUGUGUAUGUCUUUGCGGCUCGCUCCUCAUGGUAGGUGUGCUCUGGCUGUCUUCCAGCAACCUGAUCUUCCGCGGGGCACCAUCAGGGGACAGCAGGCUCCUGAUGCUCAUGGAAGCUGCUUGUCACAGUGAAUGCUUUGCUGGAAUCGAAUGUGGGUGAAAUAUUUACCAACACUGUCCUGUAGCCCAGUUGAUCAACCAGACUCAUAACCUGCCCUUCUUCCCCUCUCCCAAGCUCUGCAAGCCUGGCCAAUAAACAAUGCAGAUUCACGAUGUACACCACAGCCUCCAGCCCGUAAUGAUGAGCGGCACAGGUCUGACAGGUAGCCAGUAACAUUAACUGGAUGAGGCCAUUGUGGUUGUGUUGCCUCCUGCUUUUUCCACCAGCAGAAAGAUGGUAUGUACAUCCCUAUCGGUCUGAUUGUAAUGCAGAUCAUCUAUAUCCUUGAACAUUAUCUGAGAGCAUGGUCUAACUCUGUACUGGGCAAACAAAGACUAUUGUGGCAUAUCUGGGAUGUGGCUGCGAGGGCUGUCAGCUGUAACACAUGUGUAGAUAAAACCGAGCCAUCCUUCCCUGCAGCAGUGGAGUUUUGGAGCCAGUGAUCUAGGAGUCCGUCCUCUCCCAGUCUGUGUUGCUGGUAAGAAGCAGCCUGUAGCAGGAACAAAAGUAUGUGGGUGUUGCCAAAAAGACAGAUGGAAAGUUCCUGAGUGCUUGAGCAAAUAUGGCCAAGCAAUGUCUGAUAACAGGUAAAGCAGCACUCCUGUGUGGCCCUCUAUCAAAGACUCAAACGUCAGGCAUUUCUCCUUCCCAGAGAAAGCAUGGGGCCGGGGGUUAUGCACCUGGGGGAGAUAAAGUGUGUGUGCUGCUGAGAAUGAAGGUAAAAUAUAACACAGAAAUCUGUAAGUGUUAUCAAGAGCCAAAGCUGUUUGGGUCACAGGCUGCGUUUUCUUGGACAGAGCCCCUGCCUCUGGCCGUGCAGCAUCAGUUUCCCUGUGCAAUUGCAACACACGUAUGUUUGUCCACCAUGGGAGGAACGCACAGGUGCAGAGUAUUCCUUUGUACUCAUUUGCAGUAACUCACAUGUGUUUGGGUACACGCACAAAUGCAGAUCAGGCUGAGUAUCUUUGCUCUCAGCACUGCUCUAAAAAAAGCAUUUCUUACUUAUCAAACCGGGCUGCAUUCUUACUUAGGAACUUCUACUGCAAAAGUGCAGCUGGUCAGAAAUCUGGAUUUCAUGGGGGACGUUCCUGUGCUUUCCAGCUUCUGUUAUACGCUGGGGCAGGGAUGUUUCUAGCAUCGAAAGUUCUAAAGAGUUUUAAUUGAAGGACAUUUUUGUUUCAGUGUUAAGAUUCAGUUCAGUCCUCUAACCUGCUGUUCUUUCCAGAGAUGUCGCAAUAAAGAGCCUUCGUGCUGAGCAACAAACCCCCCGAGACCCUGCGGAGGGUUUGGCUUAGUGCUGGUUUGUGUUAAAGCACAAUCAGUUCAUGUUAAGCUUUCUAAUGAGAAAACGAGGAGGACAAAGAUUGGGUUGCAAAGCUGCUGGUGUGGUUGCCAAGUGGGGGAUAGGCAGCACCUCCAGAUUUCUCAGGAGAUUUUACUGCAGUGCUGGCAGCAGUGAGGGAAGAUCCAAAUAAGCAGCAGAAAGCAGUGCAAGAAAGUGUGCAAUUCUCACCAUGUGGGAUGCUUCCCCAGAUUCUGGACCCAAGAGUAGCAAACUUGAAGAGUUCUCCCGGGCAACGUUUAAGAUCCCAACCCAGAGAGCCUUUUCGGUUGGUGACCCUGCUGAUGGCAGCAAUGUUACACUUGAUAUCCAGACAUUGGUCUCUGCAGAAAGAGUGUUACAAACAGCAACGUGUCUGGUACAGAUGGGGAAAACCCUUCUGAGCCAUGGAGUGAAUUUACUGCGCUUUCACUGUGACACAGAGCUGGAAAUACUUCAGGACUUGGCACCUUAUGGAAGAAGUCUGAAAACCUGAAUCUCCAUCUUGUGUUCAGACAAAAGUCUCCAGUUUCUCUGUGAGAUCAGGAGGCUAUGGCCACUGCAGAAUUGGGAUGCUCCCAUAGUGUUGUGCUAUUUUAGCUAUUAUGGCUGCUUUAAUUCAUGCUUCGGUGGUUGUUUUUAGGUUUUUAUUUUUUUCCCCAAAACCUUAAACAAAACAAAACGACUGCCCCAAUCUGAUCCAGCUCACCUGUGCUUGACCUUUCUGUCUCCACCACGCCAUGCAGCUGGUCCUGCAGUUCAUUUGUGCUUUUUUUGUUGGUGCCACUUUUGCUCUCUUUCAAAAGAGAUGCGGAGAGGCCACAUCAAGCUACAUACACCCACACCCAUGCCAGAAUUGCAGAACCCUACAGCCAAGUCUGCUGCUUUCAGUAAAAGGGGCAGGGCUUUUAGAUACCUCAUAGAAGUGGAUUAAGACUCUAACGGCUUAAAAAGUACACAAAUAUUCAGAAAUAUUUGUGGUGCUCAUGAGUAAUGUUAUUAGCUUGAAGAUUACAGUGCUUAAUGUACAACAGGAUUUGAGGAUUUAAUAGUAAAGAUCCAGAGUAAUGUGGCAGAUGUCUUGCAUUAGAGUACACUUAAGUGUGUAUCAGAGUAGAAAAUAUUUUCUAUUUUAUUACAUUACAUAACAUAAGGGAAAGGUUUAAAAACAAGUUGUAUUAAUAGAUACGCUGCAUUUCUUCCUUAUUUGUGCUGGUGGAUAGCUAAACUUCUGACUUCCUUUGUUUUUGACGGUUACAUCAUGCAUGAUGGGUUUACCAAGAGAAUUAAUAAAAUGCUUCAGCUUAUUUUUCAUUCAAGAUCAUGAUGACGGAGCUCUGUCUGGUAAGCUGCUGAAGGUGCUUAACUUACUCCUCCCUUGUUUCUCUGUUGGCUGCACUGCCUGCUCCUGCAGACUCCAAAUAGAGCAUGAGCCUGCCUUGGGUGAAAGAUCCAUCCUGUCAGAUAAAGCCCCUCAAGGCUGUUCCCCAUAUAGCUCAGCUGCUACUGGCUGGGAAGGAGUGGAAGCAGAGAGCAAAGUAUGGCAGUAUAGACAGAUGUGAUGAUGGGGCAAAACUUUCAUGUAUGAGUAUUGUGCUCCUUUCCUUUUACAAGGCAUGUAGCAACCUUAGCAUGCAGGAGCUGUUAGGUAUAUCUCCUUCAGAGGUGCUUAAUCAGAUGCUAUACCUAUACAAAACACUUUGUAAUUCACGGAUCUCAUGCUGAGUUUAAUAAUAGGACAAGAAACUCUUCUGUUAUAUUUAUAGAUGAAUAAAUAAGCCGUUAUCUGUGGCUUAUUUUCCUCUAUACCAUGACAUGCCUCGUUUCUUAACUGAUAGAAAACUAGAAUCAAACACAUCUCUAUUGAGCAAGCUGUAAAUUGAGGCUGUGAGUUGCUUUAUUCAUAAAAUGUGAAGAGUCUUUUGUGCUCUCACUGGUCUCCAACAUCCUUUUUCCCCAUGUGGAUGAGGCUGGAUCCAGGUGUGGGAUUUGCAUAGGCUGCAUCCAAACCAGGGAAGUGAACACUGUCUCUGCUGUUGCCUGGAGUGCAGCUGAGCAUUGCAGCCACUCUGCGCCAACUUGACAAGCCACUUAGCUUUCUAUUCAGUCUUCUCAUCUACACAAAGUUGUUAAUACUCCUCUGAACAUUUUCGAGAUGAAGGUCCAGCAGUAAACUCAGGCUUACUCAGCAGCAGGGGCAGGGGCAGGAAGAUUACUGUCUGUGCUUGUUUUAUUUAUCUUUCCCCUCUCUCUGCCUAUGAAAGGUAUUGCUGAGUGCACGGAAUCCCUGGCUGUCACAGUCUCAAAUGCAUCCUGGUAUAACACAUUGUACAUGCUGCUCUAGUGCAAUCAGAUGGUUUUUUGUUUUCCUUUGGAUUCUGAUAUAAUUAGAUGCACAUGAAAAGAGAAAAUACUUUAAAAUGUUUACGUUUUUAUGCAUCUCUGAUAUUCUUCACAAACACAUCAAGUCCGAAUGAACCCACGGUCCACUGCUGAGACAUCACUUACUUGUUAGAAGUCACGUUUGUGUUCUGCUGAACUGUGAUAUUUACAAACGUUUACACUGUUGGGCCUUUAGGCACAAUGAGGGGAGAAAAGUGCCCAGGAAAGCAGUGACCACUGAAAAGUUGCUUUCCUUCCUGCUUAUCGGUUAGAGUGCUGUUGUCUGGUCUUCCAUGCAAGAGAAGUACUUGUCUUGGAAGUUUACAUCCAUACAUUUUUUAAACGCAGAAGUAUCUAUCCUGCUUAGCUUUGUUUUGAGGGAAGGAUAUUCUGUAAGAGCAUAAAUGAAAGGAAUAGAGAUACUUCGUCAGUAAUAGAGCUACUUACAUUUAGACUCAGAAGUGAGGAAGAUAACUAACCCGACACCUUAUUUUACUCCCAGAAUUUGACUGUGAAGCUCUUCUCCAAAAACACACUGCUAAUCAGCACUUUAUCUCUCACUGAAAUAUGAGAAGAGCUGGGAUAUUACACUACGUUUCACUGAAUAUCUUUUUUUUUCACCACUGGGAAAAGAAAAGGAAACAAAAAUUGGCAGAACUUGGACUUCCUUAUGUGAGUCUUCAGGGCAUGAAAGAGCUGCACUGUAAGCUUGGAAUCAGAAAGUGGUGAGCAAGAAGCUUAAGAGAAACUAGCAAGAUCCAUGACAACUGCUAUGAACAGUGUUGGAGGAGAAAUCCUUUGAAUAACUUAGUUACAAAGUCUUUCAGUCUGACCAACUUGUAGUCCUCCGAGUCCUAUUUGUCACUGCAAUUCACUGCUUGCUGUGAUUCUGUAUGUUUUAAAUUUUAUCACUCCAGUAUUCCUGAAGCAUCCUUUACUGCAGCAAGCUAUUUAUUCUCCCACUUUCAGAAUAUGAGAGAUGUUUCUGUGGCUGCUUCACUCCCAAUUCUUAUGCCUCCUUAUACCUGCAUGGUGCAGUGACCACAAAUGGUGGUCAAUUCCAAAUUCCAAAUUGUGAACUGCAGCUCGAUUUGGGUGGAUAUUACUUAUUUUCUAACACGUUCACUUCUAUAUAGCAAUCAGCAAAAUACCUGAGGCGACAGCUUUGAGCAUCUUUCCCUUUCAUUUCCUCACACCUUGGUCUCCUCCUCGGUUGCGGUGACAGAACUGUGAGGGCAGACAGGAUAAACUGGACUGGGGAGAUAACUGAAGCUAAAAAUAAGUUAUUGACCAAUUCUUUUUGGAUUUGCUGGGCUGUCUUCAUCCUGGACUGGCUCCCCAGCCUUACCUGCUGCACAACAAGCAGCUGAGCUGACUUAUGGGUGAGGAUAAACCCUGGGGACAGGGAGUCUGGUGCCAAAUUCUGCUUGUCAGGCGGUGCCCUGAGGGUGCCGUUAGUUUAACUGAGCCACUUCAGUGGUUCAUUGCUGUGGUUGUGGUCUGUUUUACUCCUCCCUACAAUGAAAAAGAAAAAAGCUAAUAGGUUUUAGCGGGUAGAAGAGUGGAAUUGUCUGCAUCAGAUGAAUGUGUAGAGCAAGGACUGAGGUUGGGAGCAGAAAUGAAAGAACAGAACCAUGCCUUUUGGUGGCAGUGAGCAAAGUUACUUGGUCUGAAGCUACGAAGAAACCUGUCUUUUGGUGCUUAUUACUCAUCUCAUUUAAAUCUACUGGUUGUGAGCUUGGCGUUCACAGUCUUCUGUUUCCCUAUAAUCUGUUUAUUUUUCCUUAUAUUCUAGAGAACCUAGCAAACUAGUGAAAGCGUGUGGUUCUUAGUUAUAGCAAGGUGACUGAGUGGAUACUUCUCCAUCUAGCACUGCUUCAAAGCACAAACAGAAAACAGCAAUCCUGGGAUGUUUGUGUGCUACAGCACUGCCAGCCAUGGAGCCCACAAUAAUGUGUUUGUACUGACAUUAGCUGCUUCUACUAAGAUGUCCCAAGCUAGCUGUUGGUGUUCAGAUAACUGACUAUUUAACUUGUUUUGCUGUUAUGCUGAGCUUGAUCCUGCUGCAGUUAUGCUGUACUUGAUACCAGAGAUAGAUCAAGGUUAGCUCUUGUAUGUUAUCAUCACAGCAGUGGCAGUAGACGCUCUAAGAGUCUUACCAACUUUUACAUGGAUAAACCCUGACUUAGAAUCAUAGAAUCGUAGACCCCUUAGAGUUGGAAGGGAUCUUUAAAGGUCACCUAGUCCAACUCCCCUGCAAUGAACAGGAGCACCACAGCUAGAUCAGGUUGCCCAGGGCCUGAUCCAGCCCUGCCUUGGAAGUCUGAAGGGAUGGUGGCAUCCACCACAUCACAGGGCAACCUGUUCCAGUGCCUCACCACCCUCACUGCAAAAAACUUUUUCCUUAUAUCCAAAGUGAUAUAAAACGAUCCAAAGUGACUUGUUUGAGCAAAAGGAGGAGGAAAAUUUUAAACUGUGAUUAUUGCGUUUGGUACUAUCAAAAUCAAAGUGGAGAGGUUGGCUACCUUGACUUCAGUUUUUCCAUUUAACUACAACACGUAAAGAAUGAAUAUAGUGCAUAUUUGAAAGGCAGAACUCUUUUGUUGUUGCUUUUCAUGUUGUUGUUUUGUUUGUUUUCUAAUGAUUUUCAUGAAUAAUAGGAACUUCCUGGGUUGUGUUCCCAUCCUAUUUAGCUGAAAAAUCAAAGAGCAAUAUUUAGAAACUUAUCUUCAUAUUUUAUCAUUGCUAUUUUUUCCCCCUUGACAUGGAAAAAAUAUAUGGAUCCUACUCUCGAUAUGCUGCUGAUAGAUUGUGGAGCUUCAGUGUAUUUGCUAUACAUGCAGGUAAAACUGAAAGGCCUUCAGAAUUUUGAAACCUGAAUUCCACACAAAUUUCUUCCUCUAUAAAGUUCUUGAAAUGUUUGGUGUGAUUACAUUUAUAUCAAAUAUGUUCAUAAAGAGCUGUUGUUCACUUUUUUGUCACUGUUUUCUACGUGGGGGUAUAGCUACUGAUUUAUUUUUGUUGUAUUUUAUUUUAUUUGCAAACUCAUGUAGUAUCUCACUUUUUUUGUGCAUGGAAAAAAUUGUGCAUGCACAGAAAAGACAUAGUUGGGCAUCCAAUUUAUUUUCAGGUCUCUGUAUGUAAGCAGUCUUCUGUUGUAUUACAACACCUGAAUUCUGAGCUGUAGGUACAUUAGGUUGUUGUAGCUUUGGGAACUAUUAAUGCAGGAAGAAAGAACAGCGUAGAGCAAACUAGUCUCAAAAUCAAAGCAGGGGCUUGGGGAAAAAGCUUUUUUCAUAUGUCUUUUCCUGUGCAUGUGAAAAGGAAUGUAUUUUCUAAUACAUUGACUAUUUCUGCUAUUAAUAUAUAUAUAUAUAUAUAUAUGUAUAUAUAAAUCUUUUCAGGUAGUCCAGAAGGGCAGAUGCAAGACCUUGAGUUUCUACAGACUACAUACAAACAAAACAAAGGUAAAAUGGUAUAUUAAAAAGGUAACACGGUAUCUUAUAAGCAAUAUAAACAGACUAAAAGAGUGGAUUUUGAAGCAAUGAUGCCAAAGAUUGUGACUGAAAACACAGCAUAGUUUUGUGGACUGGUUUGAGCUGCAGGCCCAGGUCUCCCCUUUCCUGGUUACAUAUUGAUCUACCAAACAGAAAAGUAGGUUUUAAUCUCUACUAUCAUUUUAAAACAUCCCAAAGGAAUAACUUGGAUCCCAAGGGUUAGCAAGAAGUUUGACUGUGAAGCAUGGCCUUCCUCUUGCCAGAACUAGAUGUUCUAGUUUGGUACAAGUUUAGGAAAUGAAAGUGAACUUCAAACUGCUGGAAGAGCCAUUCACAAUAUUACCUACUGGCUAGUUUUAUUUCUUCCCCUCACCAUGGCUGAUGAGCAUUCAAAAGACCCAGCUCAUCAUAUCCAGGUCCAAAAAAAUAAACAAAAAGCCCUCACCUUUCUAAGUCAAGACUGAUUGCUCUAUUGUCUGAAUCAAGCAUGGCCAUAUUGGAGUGGAUACGUACGGCUCUAUUCCUGUGUUUGUGACCAUCCAGAAGUAGACAGCUCAGCUGACAUCUAUGCUGGCAAUAAUGAGAUUAACUGCUGCAUAAAACUGCCUACGAACCAAACCACAGAGGUCAGCUUUGGAAUUAACACCUUGUGGAGCUGCCAGGUUGCUUCUCUUUGUUUUUUCAGGGCGCUACAGAGGAUGGAGAAGACAACACUCCAGAGUUCAGAUUUGAUUACAAUGAUUCAGGCACUUGGGAGUGGAUAGCUUUGUACACAAAACAGGUUAGUCCUUAGUGCUUUCAGGAAAGGAUCAGAGUAAAAUGUAAUUUAUAGCCAUAGGGGAUCUUCAAAAGUGAUUAGUCCAUCUCCAGCCAAGCGCAGCAGAUAUGCUUUCAAGCAGGUUAGCCUAGGGACUAUUACCUAAGGAACCAUAUUUGAGCUUCUUUAUUCAUAGAAUCAUAGAAUCACUAAGGUUGGAAAAGACCCACAGGAUCAUCCAGUCCAACCAUCCGCCCUUCAUCAGUGGUUCUCGCUAAACCAUGUUCCUUAACACAACAUCCAAAAUUAUUCUCUAUGGCAAGAGAAUAACACUCAACAGAGAGCAUGGGAAGGAGCACGGGUGUACUAUUUACUUACUGGACUCGGUAUCCAGCAGAUUCAUUAGCUGGUCGGGCAUGUCUAAAACCAAAGGCUCUUAUCCUCUACAACGAAUCCUGUUGUUCAAAUGUGCUAUAUUAACACAAGCUGUAGUUAAUAGAGGGUGAAUAAUAACAGAGGGUUAAUAACUGGUACAAAGGGUGUACAUAUGUAACAUCAUAGUGUUUUCUUAUAAAACAUAUACAUAUUCUUUAAGUGGGUUUUUAUAGGGUGACAUUCCUCCUUGAUGUUGUGUGGGAGGAGCACGUACAGCUGAGCUCACAAUGAAAGCAACUGAAGGAGGCCCAGACAUGGAGAGCACAUGUAUAUUUAGGUGCCUGAAUUUAUAUUUCAAGGAAACAAAACUGCUACUGCUAUAAUUCUUUUCAGAGUGCUGAGUCAAGUCCCACCGAGGAAAACGUUCUUGUAUGUCCACACAUUUCAGUACAGAAUGACUUGACUGUAUACCUUGCCUCUGUUCUACGGGAAUUAGUAUUUGUUCUGAAUGUUAAAGGUGGUUGGACACUGCAGUUUUAAUGUUGUUUUGCAUUCUUUGACUUUCAUUCUCGUUGCAUAUAAUAAAGGCCACAUAGGGCACAAUUUUUUAUGUUCUACUUUGCCCUGUUGUAUCCGUAUCUGGAUUUCAGAUCUUCACCAUUUCACUUGCUUGCUCCAUCUGCUGCAGUGUUAGGCCAAUUUGAGAUCUGACAUUCAUGCGGAGAUAUGUUUUGGUUUUAAAUAGAAGUUCUAAUUAAACAAAAAAUCUGAUUUAUAGCUAAAAUAUUUCUGUAGUCUUAUGUGUAGGCUUCGUGUGGGCUAAGAAUCUAAAUAUAUAUAGAUAGUUGCUAUUUUUUCCAAUCUCUAGCAUUAAAAAGGUCUUUCUUUAAGCCUGUGACAUCCAAAGACUUUGAAUGUUUGCUCUCUGAAAAUAUAUGAGAGAAAAAAAGGAAAGAAAACUGUGAUCUCCCAGAACCAUGCUGAUCAGUGAGCAAUGAGGCAAAGAACAACAUGUUACUUCAUAGCUUUAAACUAUAAGCAAAGUAGAAGAAAAGAACAAUAACUUUUGGGAAAGUACUGAUCUUCUCUGUUCUAUGCUUAUUUGUAAUGGAAGUUCAGUAAAUCUUUAAUUACGAAGGUGAAUGUUCAUUUAAUAUUCAGAUGUUGAUGCUACUUGGGUGGCUCUAAUUAUCAACAAAAUUAUGA
Molecule: long non-coding RNA, 10006 nt
Organism: Gallus gallus (chicken)
Lineage: Eukaryota; Metazoa; Chordata; Aves; Galliformes; Phasianidae
Exons: 4
Source: RefSeq, a predicted model, not a curated record